This 669-nucleotide ribosomal RNA is filed under the name uncultured bacterium. Its description in RNAcentral is "bacterial SSU rRNA". It matches the Rfam family "Bacterial small subunit ribosomal RNA", at positions 255 to 916 of the family's 1533-position model. The record is from RNAcentral.
GGGUAAAAGCCUACCAAGCCAAUGAUCUGUAGCUGGUCUGAGAGGAUGAUCAGCCACACUGGGACUGAGACACGGUCCAGACACCUACGGGUGGCAGCAGUCGAGAAUUUUUCUCAAUGGGGGCAACCCUGAAGGAGCGACGCCGCGUGGAGGAUGAAGGCUUUCGGGUUGUAAACUCCUGUCAUUUGGGAACAAGGUGCACACGUUAACUGCGUGGGUAUUGAUAGUACCAGAAGAGGAAGGGACGGCUAACUCUGUGCCAGCAGCCGCGGUAAUACAGAGGUCCCAAGCGUUGUUCGGAUUCAUUGGGCGUAAAGGGUGCGUAGGUGGCGCCGUAAGUCGGGUGUGAAAUUUCGGAGCUUAACUCCGAAACUGCAUUCGAUACUGCGGUGCUUGAGGACUGGAGAGGAGACUGGAAUUCAUGGUGUAGCAGUGAAAUGCGUAGAGAUCAUGAGGAAGACCAGUGGCGAAGGCGGGUCUCUGGACAGUUCCUGACACUGAGGCACGAAGGCCAGGGGAGCAAACGGGAUUAGAUACCCCGGUAGUCCUGGCAGUAAACGGUGCACGUUUGGUGUGGGGGGAUUCGACCCCUUCCGCGCCGGAGCUAACGCGUUAAACGUGCCGCCUGGGGAGUACGGUCGCAAGAUUAAAACUCAAAGGAAUUGACGG